GACGAAGGGGGCUAGCGUUGCUCGGAAUCACUGGGCGUAAAGCGCACGUAGGCGGCUUGUUAAGUCAGGGGUGAAAUCCUGGAGCUCAACUCCAGAACUGCCUUUGAUACUGGCGAGCUUGAGUUCGGGAGAGGUGAGUGGAACUGCGAGUGUAGAGGUGAAAUUCGUAGAUAUUCGCAAGAACACCAGUGGCGAAGGCGGCUCACUGGCCCGAUACUGACGCUGAGGUGCGAAAGCGUGGGGAGCAAACAGG
Molecule: ribosomal RNA, 253 nt
Filed under: uncultured bacterium
Lineage: Bacteria
Description: partial 16S ribosomal RNA
Rfam family: Bacterial small subunit ribosomal RNA
Source: RNAcentral